This 1236-nucleotide long non-coding RNA is filed under the name Felis catus (domestic cat). RNAcentral describes it as "lncRNA (ENSFCAG00000051859.1)". Lineage: Eukaryota; Metazoa; Chordata; Mammalia; Carnivora; Felidae. The record is from RNAcentral.
UUUUUUGAAAUCUUUCCCCAAUAUUCUACCCUUUUCACUGACUACAAGUGAUUUUUCUAAACUACAAAUCUGAUCAUGUCGUUCCCCGACUUAAAAGUAGUCUACUUCAGAACUAGGUCACCAUUAGGAAAGGGUCGCUCUUUUUAGCUCCUCCAGGUUAACAUCAUCGUAACGUCUCUAAAUCACUCAAUCUAGGAAUGCCCCUUUGCAUACACUAGCGCCACACCAUGUGAGCUAAGUGCUCUCUCUGUUCUGGCUCCCUCAUAACCGUUGUUUGGCUCUCAGAGCUCCUUGAAUGAUUCCUCUUCCGAGAAGUCCCCUUUGUUGUUUCUUCCUUUAGCUCCCCCCUCCCCACCCCACCUGCCACCCCACCCCCCACCCCACCUGCCACCCCACCUCCCACCCCACCUGGCCUUCCCUUGCCUUGCUCUUUUGCAUUUGAGACACAGUUAUUUCCUGACUGCAUUUUUUUCUAUUACAUGUUUUUCUGAGCUCUGGUCGGGCAAGCUGUGACUGAAAUUGUUUCCUGGCUGCUGAUUCACUGGUUUGCUCCAUCCUUUGGAGUGGGGGACCCUCUGGAUUCCAGACCACGUGGCUCCCUGUCCCACUGGUACUUUUGGUUUCAGCGGGUUGUUGGUCCUGACACCACCAGACACCCCUGAAUCUUUCCCCAUCUUUUCAGAGAUCAUUCACUGAUAUACUGAGUUAUUAUGCAGUUCUGGAUAAAUCAUUUAACCUUUCUCUUUCUGGGGUUUUGUUUUUGUUUUUAGUUUUAAGUUUUCCCAGUUUACAAAUAAGAGUCUAGAUAAGCCAAAGACUGCCCUCAUAGGGCUUGUGAGAAUUAAGUGAAAUAAAGCAUGUAAAAACACUUUGUUAAGUGCAAAGUGCUAAACUAAUAUAAGAUAUUAUUUUAUUGCAAUGCUUUUACUCAAAUACAUAAUUCCUGGAUGUAAUUUUCUUUGUAAGGAGCUUUGUGAUUUGAAAGUAUUGACUGAAAGGGCACCUAGGUGGCUUAGUUGGUUAAGCGUCCAACUCCUGAUUUCAGCUCAGGAUCGGAAGAGCUGUCUUACAGCGGGGAUACUGGGGCAGGAAGGAGGCUGCUGGAUGUCACUGUCCACCAGGCACUGCAGUAGCUGGGCAACAGAGAUGUCACAAGUGCCACAGGAGUUGAGGCACUCUGCUACAAAGUCCCUGGCUGGGAGGGGAGGGUUGCUGGAGGAAGCUGCUGGCUGGUAA